CGAAGAACCUUACCCAGGCUUGAACUGCAGAGGACACUCUACGAAAGUAGACUUCCGCAAGGACCUCUGUAGAGGUGCUGCAUGGCUGUCGUCAGCUCGUGUCGUGAGAUGUUGGGUUAAGUCCCGCAACGAGCGCAACCCUUGUCUUCUGUUGCCAUCGGGUCAAGCCGGGCACUCUGAAGAGACUGCCGGUGACAAACCGGAGGAAGGUGGGGAUGACGUCAAGUCAGCAUGGCCUUUAUGUCUGGGGCCACACACGUGCUACAAUGGCCGGUACAAACCGUCGCGAGCCCGCGAGGGGGAGCUAAUCGGAGAAAGCCGGUCUCAGUUCGGAUUGUAGGCUGCAACUCGCCUGCAUGAAGUUGGAAUCGCUAGUAAUCGCGGAUCAGCACGCCGCGGUGAAUACGUUCCCGGGCCUUGUACACACCGCCCGUCACAUCACGAAAGCUGGCUGUACUAGAAGUUGCUGAGCCAACCCGCAAGGGAGGCAAGUUCCUAAGGUA
RNAcentral lists this ribosomal RNA (503 nucleotides) under uncultured Acidobacteriota bacterium. RNAcentral describes it as "bacterial SSU rRNA". It matches the Rfam family "Bacterial small subunit ribosomal RNA", at positions 962 to 1464 of the family's 1533-position model. The record is from RNAcentral. Lineage: Bacteria; Pseudomonadati; Acidobacteriota.